Molecule: ribosomal RNA, 499 nt
Filed under: uncultured Sphingobacteriales bacterium
Lineage: Bacteria; Pseudomonadati; Bacteroidota; Sphingobacteriia; Sphingobacteriales
Description: bacterial SSU rRNA
Rfam family: Bacterial small subunit ribosomal RNA
Source: RNAcentral
CCUUGCCAGCCCGCUCAGAAACUUAAGGAAUUGACGGGGCCCGCACAAGCGGAGGAGCAUGUGGUUUAAUUCGAUGAUACGCGAGGAACCUUACCUGGGCUCAAAUGUAUGUUGACGUAUUCUGAAAGGGAUACUUCUUCGGACAAUAUACAAGGUGCUGCAUGGUUGUCGUCAGCUCGUGCCGUGAGGUGUCGGGUUAAGUCCCAUAACGAGCGCAACCCCUAUCAUUAGUUGCCAUCAGGUCAAGCUGGGGACUCUAAUGAAACUGCCUACGCAAGUAGUGAGGAAGGUGGGGAUGACGUCAAAUCAGCACGGCCCUUACGUCCAGGGCUACACACGUGCUACAAUGGCCGGUACAAAGGGCAGCUACCUGGUGACAGGAUGCAAAUCUCCAAAGUCGGUCUCAGUUCGGAUCGGAGUCUGCAACCCGACUCCGUGAAGUUGGAUUCGCUAGUAAUCGCGCAUCAGCCAUGGCGCGGUGAAUACGUUCCCGGGCCUU